CUCUAUCUCACUGGAAGGAACUGAGUUGGUGACUUCUAACUCAUCCAAUAUCAGGAAAUGCGUAUAAAGGUGAGGAAGAGCUGAUGGACUAUCUAUGUUACACAGAAUAAUGAGUGAGUUAUGAUCUGCAUCAUGGGAGGGAAGACCUGCAUUGAUGAGAUCACAGGAACAAUUUCAAAGUGCUCUUAAUUUAGCCUUUUAAAACUGCAACACAAGGUUUCCUGCCUGAGGCUAAUCUCCUAAUUACAUCUAUAUAGACAAGUCACACCUUCAGCAAGAUAAAAAAGAAUUCACACCUGCCAGUUUUUAUAUCAGUUUUGGAAAUAUCCCCUUAAUGAGCAAGCCAAAAAGAAAU
Non-coding RNA from Phascolarctos cinereus (koala), 355 nucleotides. The record is from RefSeq and is a predicted model, not a curated record. Lineage: Eukaryota; Metazoa; Chordata; Mammalia; Diprotodontia; Phascolarctidae.